RNAcentral lists this microRNA precursor (103 nucleotides) under Marmota monax (woodchuck). Lineage: Eukaryota; Metazoa; Chordata; Mammalia; Rodentia; Sciuridae. The record is from RNAcentral.
AGAGAGAUAGCUGGGUCAAAUAGUGGUUCCAUUCCAAGUUUUCUAAGGAAUUUCUAUAUUGUUUUACAGAUUGGUUGCACCACUUUGCAGUUUCACCAGCAAU